GAUGAACGCUGGCGGCGUGCCUAAUACAUGCAAGUCGAGCGAACGGACGAGAAGCUUGCUUCUCUGAUGUUAGCGGCGGACGGGUGAAUAACACGUGGAUAACCUACCUAUAAGACUGGGAUAACUUCGGGAAACCGGAGCUAAUACCGGAUAAUAUUUUGAACCGCAUGGUUCAAAAGUGAAAGACGGUCUUGCUGUCACUUAUAGAUGGAUCCGCGCUGCAUUAGCUAGUUGGUAAGGUAACGGCUUACCAAGGCAACGAUGCAUAGCCGACCUGAGAGGGGGGACGGGCCAAACGGAAACGGAGACCCGGGCCGAACCCCUACGGGAGGAAGCGGGAGGGAAUUUUCCGCAAUGGGCGAAAGCCUAAGGGGGCAACGCCGGGUGGGUGAUGAGGGCUUUGGGAUGUGAAAACUUUUUUAUUAGGGAAAAAAAUUUGUGUAAGUAACGUUGCAAAUCUUGACGGUACCUAAUCAAAAAGCCACGGCUAACUACGU
RNAcentral lists this ribosomal RNA (497 nucleotides) under uncultured bacterium. RNAcentral's name for it is "partial 16S ribosomal RNA". It matches the Rfam family "Bacterial small subunit ribosomal RNA", at positions 28 to 506 of the family's 1533-position model. The record is from RNAcentral.